UCGGGAAUGGCGGCUAGCCUACACAUGCAAGUCGAACGGCAGCACAGGAGAGCUUGCUCUCUGGGUGGCGAGUGGCGGACGGUAGAGGAAUACAUCGGAAUCUACUCUGUCGUGGGGGAUAACGUAAGGAAACUUACGCUAAUACCGCAUAUGACCUACGGGUGAAAGUGGGGGACCGCAAGGCCUCACGCGAUUGAAUCUCUCGAUGUCGGAUUAGCUAGUUGGCGGGGUAAAGGCCCACCAAGGCGACGAUCCGUAGCUGGUCUGAGAGGAUGAUCAGCCACACUGGAACUGAGACACGGUCCAGACUCCUACGGGAGGCAGCAGUGGGGAAUAUUGGACAAUGGGCGCAAGCCUGAUCCAGCCAAACCGCGUGAGUGAAGAAGGCCCUCGGGUUGUAAAGC
This 404-nucleotide ribosomal RNA is filed under the name Pseudoxanthomonas koreensis. Its description in RNAcentral is "bacterial SSU rRNA". It matches the Rfam family "Bacterial small subunit ribosomal RNA", at positions 37 to 431 of the family's 1533-position model. Lineage: Bacteria; Pseudomonadati; Pseudomonadota; Gammaproteobacteria; Lysobacterales; Lysobacteraceae. The record is from RNAcentral.